RNAcentral lists this ribosomal RNA (520 nucleotides) under uncultured bacterium. RNAcentral's name for it is "bacterial SSU rRNA". It matches the Rfam family "Bacterial small subunit ribosomal RNA", at positions 26 to 518 of the family's 1533-position model. The record is from RNAcentral.
AGGACGAACGCUGGCGGCGUGCCUAAUACAUGCAAGUCGAACGGUCUUUCUAUGGAAGCUUGCUUCCACUGAGAAGAUAGUGGCGAACGGGUGAGGUAACACGUGGGUAACCUGCCCAUAAGAGGGGGAUAACAUCCGGAAACGGGUGCUAAUACCGCAUAGUUUUCUUGAUCGCAUGAUCGGGAAAGGAAAGACGGCCUUUGUGCUGUCGCUUAUGGAUGGACCCGCGGCGUAUUAGUUAGUUGGUGAGGUAACGGCUCACCAAGACGAUGAUACGUAGCCGACCUGAGAGGGUGAUCGGCCACAUUGGGACUGAGACACGGCCCAAACUCCUACGGGAGGCAGCAGUAGGGAAUCUUCCGCAAUGGACGAAAGUCUGACGGAGCAACGCCGCGUGAGUGAAGAAAGGUUUUCGGAUCGUAAAACUCUGUUGUCAGAGAAGAACAAGUUGGAGAGUAACUGCUCCAGCCUUGACGGUAUCUGACCAGAAAGCCACGGCUAACUACGUGCCAGCCGCUGC